UGUGUUGACCUGGUGUCUACCUGUAGU
Molecule: non-coding RNA, 27 nt
Filed under: Rattus norvegicus (Norway rat)
Lineage: Eukaryota; Metazoa; Chordata; Mammalia; Rodentia; Muridae
Source: RNAcentral